This 419-nucleotide long non-coding RNA is filed under the name Equus caballus (horse). RNAcentral's name for it is "lncRNA (ENSECAG00000028387.3)". Lineage: Eukaryota; Metazoa; Chordata; Mammalia; Perissodactyla; Equidae. The record is from RNAcentral.
CUGCUCCACACUUGCCUUUAUAUCCCUCUGAAGAAGGACUCAUUAAGCUACUAUACAGGUCACUGAUUCGUGUUUAUGGAGCACCUACCAUGUACAAAACUCUUCCAGAAUCUACGGGAAGCCAAAUGACUCUGCUGGCCCGCACCACACUUACAGACUGCUAAGAGAACUAAGAGGAGGAUGGAGGGACAGAAUCUUCUGGAAGGGACUCUGGGAAAGCUUCAUAAAAGAGCGUUCACUGGAGAUGAGCCUUGAAGAGAUUAGCAUCCACUUCAGACUGCCACUAUGAACCAGACUCUGAUGCCAGAGUUGAGAAGGAGAGCCUGGAACUCUCCCUGUGAUGCUAAUUUAGGCAAAGCACUCCCUACUCCCACUGUAAGGUAGGUCACCUGCCCGUCACCUUCUCUGCUUUCCGUUCC